UCAAAUGUCAUAAAGGCAAUGAGUGCGUCGCCCCGCUGACCAUGUUGCAUCAUCGUCAUCGAUGCUUGCCUUUGGCUACAGAACGGGAAAGGCGAUGUACUCGAGCCUCCUCCGACGGCCAUGUAACGGCAGACAAAUGCUCCUGCUCACUUUUCCAGCAGCGAAACUCCUUCUUGGCUCGCUCCUCCUCGCCCUGGCGGCGCUACCCGGCUGGAGACCGCGGCUUCCGCGUCUGCUCGCAGAAGAAACGUACGUGUGGCGAAGCCGGAGACCAAGCGCCCGACCGCUCUUUGGGCACACGCAUCCGCGCGAUACGUCGGCGAGGCUGUAGGCCGUUUGCGAGGUUGCCGCCUUCUUGAGGUGCGGCCGCUGCAAGGCCGUACGCUAUCUGUGGAAACACAAGGUGAAAGCUUUCGGUAGGAUCCAUGGAUCUUGACUUCAGCAUGUGUUUUGGUUAUCUGAAAGUCAUGGACGUGACAUUACCAGAAAUCAAAUCAAAUAAGAGACGGUCAGUUUUCACUAUCCUACAAAUUACUUCAGAACUCUCUCCAUAUAAGUUCAUCUUUUUCAAAUUUAAAGCUUUCCAAAAGUCAGUUUCCGAGUUCCAGCCAAAUCCGGUGAACCACGCACCAACUUGGGCCACUUUCACCAUAAUUGACACAAAUAUAAAUGAUUGUUUAUCCGCUUUGGACUUUUUUGCCUCUUAUGCUUUCUUAUUUUAAUAUACUGUUAAAUCUGGAGUUAUGUAAUCACCGUAAAUUCCCUUUUUGGGAACUAUGGGAAUAUAUUGGCUGGUGCAUUAUAACCCCUCCUUUGGGAACUAUGUCAUCUUGUAAGAAUUACAACUUUUUUGUUCUUAAGUGUUGUCUAGUCGUCAACAACCAUACCAGAAAGGAGAGUGCAAUCCAAAUUGGUGAGUUUUUCAACAUUGUGUAUCUGCUGCUUGUGUCUGCCAGUUACCAAUUUCGUCCCUUGUCACUGACCUUUGACAAGUUUGAUGUAUCAGGAUCAUCAAGCUGCGUUCUUCCAUGGCUCUAGUUACAUUCAAAACAAAGGCAGAGAGACUGUACAAGAAUCUGGAUAAGAUGGAGGCUUCUUUGUCUGCUAACAUAUCUGAGCAGCAGGGACAGUACUAAUUUACAGUUCCUAAGUUGCUGUUCAUUCUAAGCCAUCUCUGGAGGCAGUUUGAUGCUGCAAGAACCUACACAAGGCUGACUGAAGACGUGAAGCCUGAGAAGCUUCUGUCUAUAAGGGCAAAGCUAACACAACAGCUGAUAGGGAUGCCCUUUCUUCCGAGGUCCAGAGAUCAACAUGUUGGCUGAAGGCCUCCACACCCUGAUUACUUGCAUGGACUAGGAAACUGAAACUGAUGACUGGAAAAAUACAAUGGAUCUCAUAUAUAUACAUGAUCCAGGGAGCAUUUAUUUAUAGUGGAUAUAUGGUUUCUUUUCCUGUGGGUGUUAGAGAGCAUUGAUCAAUGGUUGUUUGAGGCUGCUAGUUCUUUGUGCCUUUUUAACUCAAAUAAAGAUCAUAUAGUGUGACAA
Musa acuminata AAA Group (dessert banana) is the source of this 1544-nucleotide long non-coding RNA. RefSeq lists it as uncharacterized. The transcript is spliced from 4 exons. NCBI's taxonomy places the organism in Eukaryota, Viridiplantae, Streptophyta, Magnoliopsida, Zingiberales, Musaceae. The record is from RefSeq and is a predicted model, not a curated record.